ACAUUUUAAGUAUAAUAGUUGUACACUUACCUUCCAAGUAAGAAGAUUAAUAAAUUUAAAAAAUGUA
This is a non-coding RNA of Pomacea canaliculata, 67 nucleotides long. The record is from the annotation of a RefSeq genome assembly. NCBI's taxonomy places the organism in Eukaryota, Metazoa, Mollusca, Gastropoda, Architaenioglossa, Ampullariidae.